UUUUGCUUUUACAUCGUGUGUAAUGGGACAUGUUUGCUAUUAAAAGCGUUCAAUCAGUUCCAAGUGGCUCCAAGUUUUCCCUAUUAUCACCCAUAUUUUUAAUUUCUGAAUUGCACUUUUUCUUCAAAGAAGUCCAUUUUAUCUGAGAGCAACUCGCUUUCAUCUGGAAAUUUCUUUCUCUCUCUCUGGGAUUUUCCUCUAGGUGAGGCUGUCUUCUACUCUCCAGAGAGACCAGAGAGCACAUCCUGAAUGUUUGCAAUGUUGUGGCUGUUUUACAAUACCUGCUUGUCUCUCCAUUCCUGGUGCUGUUUCUUGGCAAAGAAGUUUUCUCUAUAUCCAGUCAAGAGUUAGAAAUAAAAAGCUUGUUUCCUGACACGAUGAAGCUAAAUGGGUUGCAAUUAAGCACUCUGGCUUCCAAAUACAUCAUCUGAGCAUGAGUUGUCGGUUGCUGCAGAGCUGACAUGGCCAGCUAACGUCCAGAUCAAACACAGUCUUCUUUGUUUGAGGAUACCAUGUAGUAAGCAGGUGCUUUGUGAAGUUCCAUAUUGCUCUGGAUUUCAGAGACAGAUGCUGCUUCAUGUACCCAGGAUCUCUUUCAAAUUCAGCUAAUUCAGAUCAGGAAGCUGACCCAACUCAUCAUUUGUUGCACAACGACUGGAGCUGGCAGGACAGGGAACUGCAGCCAGAAACCGCAAGUAAUGCUCGUUUGGCACCAAUAUGGUCUUCGGUGGACUUCAGGAUUUGAUUUUAUAAUGCACUAAUUAGCACCAAGGACAGUGGUUAAUAAAAAAGCACCUUCAGUAGUUUGAAAAACAACAUGGCGUGGUAUUCCAGGACCCAGCUGCAGAUGGUCAUGCUUAGAACCAUCUAAGCAUCCUAUGGAAAGGAUUGUUAGUUUAAACUGACCACGAGAGGUGGUUUGCCACCACUAUAGGUAGAAAAGCGAGGCAUAGAAUAACUGAAUAAAACACAAAAUAAAACUGUAAGGUAAAGUCAAUAGAGAAUUCCCAUUGUGCUUCCUUUUACCAAUUUCUCCAGUAUUUUUCAGAACAGACUAGAAAAAUAUUAAAAAAAAAAAAGUUUAAUGACAAUUUACAAAUAUACAAUACUUACAUUUUCAAAAGUUACAAAAAUGGUACUUUAACAGAAACCAAAAGCUUCAUCUGACCUUUGGUACAUUUCAAAAUUAGUUAUUUACAAAGAAAAAAAUCACAGUCACUUUUCAUAGUGUCAAUGUUUACAUGUAAGCAUCCCUCAGUUAAAAAACAUCUCACAGCUUACCCACAGGCACUUUUUGCAGUUUGAGCUCUGCACCCAUCCAUCACAUUGAGAAUUCUAUCAGCCCCCGUUAAGCUGACAUGACAUUGCAUUAUUAUGUUUUAACAGACUUUAGUUUGAAGAAUAUGUAUAACCAUCACGCUAAACUGAUUCACAGUUGGUGACAUUUCACCUGGUGCAUUUUGUAUUGCUUAUGGCUUGGUACAAUGACACAGGCUUCCUUUUCUAAUUAGCUUGUAAUACACGUUAAGAAAAAAAAAAAUGGACUAAUUUUAUUAGGUAGUAUAAUUCCAUCUCUUCAUAGAGGAAAUUAAAAACAAAAGUGUUCUUCCCAUGCUGUUAUUUCACCUCAUGAAAUUUGUAUAUUAAACCCUUUCUUCACCAUGCACAAUUUUUGCCUAAAGGUAACAGACAAACAGAUGAAGGCUUCCAAAACCUAUUCAUUUCUAUUACUUUUCCCAUUAGUGGACGUUUUCUAGUUUGAACUUAUUUUAACUCAAACUUUAGAAAUUUCCCUUGAGAGCAAACACAAGUAUUGUUUUGUCUGUGUGUGCUUGAGUGUCUUCCUUUAGUUUAAAAUAUUUCCAAUAAAAGAAAUACAGCCAAAAUACAUACAGCCCAUUUUUGAAGCCUCUAACUUAUUAGCGUACACAAUUUUUUCACGUGGUCAUGAUUUUUAGAGCAUGUAACUUCAAUGCGUAACAGAAUGGGAACUCAAAAAGCCUUGAAAUUCAUUGUUUUGAGGACAGUUUGGGACUACACGUUUCCCACAGGUAUGUUUUAGUUAAGACUAAAUACCACCAGAAUAUUAGUUACGGUUCAGGAUCAGGAUCUUUUUUUAAACCAAGAAAUAAGAAAAGCUUGCUGUCAGCAACUGUGGGUGCAGCUUAAAAUGUCUUCCAUCGUUACAACAUUGCCCUCCCAAGAACUUAGAAACUC
Molecule: long non-coding RNA, 2217 nt
Filed under: Meleagris gallopavo (turkey)
Lineage: Eukaryota; Metazoa; Chordata; Aves; Galliformes; Phasianidae
Description: lncRNA (ENSMGAG00000022013.1)
Source: RNAcentral